RNAcentral lists this ribosomal RNA (424 nucleotides) under uncultured bacterium. Its description in RNAcentral is "partial 16S ribosomal RNA". It matches the Rfam family "Bacterial small subunit ribosomal RNA", at positions 359 to 776 of the family's 1533-position model. The record is from RNAcentral.
AAAAUUUGACAAUGGGGGGAACCCUGAUCCAGCCAUGCCGCGCGUGUGAAGAAGGUGUCCUGAUUGUAAAGCACUGUAUGUUGGGAGGAAGAGUUGUAGUCUAAUACCUUGCAAUUUUGACGUUACCAACAGAAUAAGCACCGGCCAACUUCGAGCCAGCAGCCGCGGUAAUACGAAGGGUGCAAGCGUUAAUCGUAAUUAAUGUGCGUAAAGAAGGCGUAGGUGGUUGGUUAAGUUGGAAGUGAAAGCCCCGGGCUUAACCUGGGAAUUGCUUUCAAAACUGACGAGCUAGAGUACGGUAGAGGGUAGUGGAAUUUCCUGUGUAGCGGUGAAAUGCGUAGAUAUAGGAAGGAACAUCAGUGGCGAAGGCGACUACCUGGACUGAUACUGACACUGAGGUGCGAAAGCGUGGGGGGCAAACAGG